UACGAACGCUGGCGGCGUGCUUAACACAUGCAAGUCGAACGGAAAGGCCCUGCUUUUGUGGGGUGCUCGAGUGGCGAACGGGUGAGUAACACGUGAGUAACCUGCCCUUGACUUUGGGACAACUUCAGGAAACUGGGGCUAAUACCGGAUAGGAGCUCCUGCUGCAUGGUGGGGGUUGGAAAGUUUCGGCGGUUGGGGAUGGACUCGCGGCUUAUCAGCUUGUUGGUGGGGUAGUGGCUUACCAAGGCUUUGACGGGUAGCCGGCCUGAGAGGGUGACCGGCCACAUUGGGACUGAGAUACGGCCCAGACUCCUACGGGAGGCAGCAGUGGGGAAUAUUGCACAAUGGGCGGAAGCCUGAUGCAGCAACGCCGCGUGCGGGAUGACGGCCUUCGGGUUGUAAACCGCUUUCGCCUGUGACGAAGCGUGAGUGACGGUAAUGGGUAAAGAAGCACCGGCUAACUACGUG
RNAcentral lists this ribosomal RNA (468 nucleotides) under uncultured bacterium. RNAcentral describes it as "partial 16S ribosomal RNA". It matches the Rfam family "Bacterial small subunit ribosomal RNA", at positions 29 to 507 of the family's 1533-position model. The record is from RNAcentral.